Molecule: ribosomal RNA, 1367 nt
Filed under: Mycolicibacterium porcinum
Lineage: Bacteria; Bacillati; Actinomycetota; Actinomycetes; Mycobacteriales; Mycobacteriaceae
Description: bacterial SSU rRNA
Rfam family: Bacterial small subunit ribosomal RNA
Source: RNAcentral
UCGAACGGAAGGCCCUUCGGAGGUACUCGAGUGGCGAACGGGUGAGUAACACGUGGGUGAUCUGCCCUGCACUUUGGGAUAAGCCUGGGAAACUGGGUCUAAUACCGAAUAGGACCGCGCUCUUCAUGGGGUGUGGUGGAAAGCUUUUGCGGUGUGGGAUGGGCCCGCGGCCUAUCAGCUUGUUGGUGGGGUAAUGGCCUACCAAGGCGACGACGGGUAGCCGGCCUGAGAGGGUGACCGGCCACACUGGGACUGAGAUACGGCCCAGACUCCUACGGGAGGCAGCAGUGGGGAAUAUUGCACAAUGGGCGCAAGCCUGAUGCAGCGACGCCGCGUGAGGGAUGACGGCCUUCGGGUUGUAAACCUCUUUCAAUAGGGACGAAGCGCAAGUGACGGUACCUAUAGAAGAAGGACCGGCCAACUACGUGCCAGCAGCCGCGGUAAUACGUAGGGUCCGAGCGUUGUCCGGAAUUACUGGGCGUAAAGAGCUCGUAGGUGGUUUGUCGCGUUGUUCGUGAAAACUCACAGCUUAAACUGUGGGCGUGCGGGCGAUACGGGCAGACUAGAGUACUGCAGGGGAGACUGGAAUUCCUGGUGUAGCGGUGGAAUGCGCAGAUAUCAGGAGGAACACCGGUGGCGAAGGCGGGUCUCUGGGCAGUAACUGACGCUGAGGAGCGAAAGCGUGGGGAGCGAACAGGAUUAGAUACCCUGGUAGUCCACGCCGUAAACGGUGGGUACUAGGUGUGGGUUUCCUUCCUUGGGAUCCGUGCCGUAGCUAACGCAUUAAGUACCCCGCCUGGGGAGUACGGCCGCAAGGCUAAAACUCAAAGGAAUUGACGGGGGCCCGCACAAGCGGCGGAGCAUGUGGAUUAAUUCGAUGCAACGCGAAGAACCUUACCUGGGUUUGACAUGCACAGGACGCCAGUAGAGAUAUUGGUUCCCUUGUGGCCUGUGUGCAGGUGGUGCAUGGCUGUCGUCAGCUCGUGUCGUGAGAUGUUGGGUUAAGUCCCGCAACGAGCGCAACCCUUGUCUCAUGUUGCCAGCACGUUAUGGUGGGGACUCGUGAGAGACUGCCGGGGUCAACUCGGAGGAAGGUGGGGAUGACGUCAAGUCAUCAUGCCCCUUAUGUCCAGGGCUUCACACAUGCUACAAUGGCCGGUACAAAGGGCUGCGAUGCCGUGAGGUGGAGCGAAUCCUUUCAAAGCCGGUCUCAGUUCGGAUCGGGGUCUGCAACUCGACCCCGUGAAGUCGGAGUCGCUAGUAAUCGCAGAUCAGCAACGCUGCGGUGAAUACGUUCCCGGGCCUUGUACACACCGCCCGUCACGUCAUGAAAGUCGGUAAUCACCCGAAGUCCGGUGGCCUACACC